ACGGAAGGCAGCAGUGGGGAAUAUUGCACAAUGGGGGAAACCCUGAUGCAGCGACGCCGCGUGAGUGAAGAAGUUAUUCGUAAUGUAAAGCUCUAUCAGCAGGGAAGAAAAUGACGGUACCUGACUAAGAAGCCCCGGCUAACUACGUGCCAGCAGCCGCGGUAAUACGUAGGGGGCAAGCGUUAUCCGGAUUUACUGGGUGUAAAGGGAGCGUAGACGGUCUGGCAAGUCUGAUGUGAAAGGCAGGGGCUCAACUCCUGGACUGCAUUGGAAACUGUCAGUCUUGAGUGUCGGAGAGGUAAGCGGAAUUCCUAGUGUAGCGGUGAAAUGCGUAGAUAUUAGGAGGAACACCAGUGGCGAAGGCGGCUUACUGGACGAUAACUGACGUUGAGGCUCGAAAGCGUGGGGAGCAGACAGGAUUAGAUACCCUGGUA
This 434-nucleotide ribosomal RNA is filed under the name uncultured Lachnospiraceae bacterium. RNAcentral describes it as "bacterial SSU rRNA". It matches the Rfam family "Bacterial small subunit ribosomal RNA", at positions 341 to 792 of the family's 1533-position model. The record is from RNAcentral. Lineage: Bacteria; Bacillati; Bacillota; Clostridia; Lachnospirales; Lachnospiraceae.